Molecule: long non-coding RNA, 774 nt
Organism: Betta splendens (Siamese fighting fish)
Lineage: Eukaryota; Metazoa; Chordata; Actinopteri; Anabantiformes; Osphronemidae
Exons: 2
Source: RefSeq, a predicted model, not a curated record
GAUUGUCAUUGUAGCCUGUUGCUGUUUAUUGGCUUUGUAGCCUUUGUCAAAUUUACCUUUUUAUGCAAAGAAUUGGAUCCAGAUGAAGAAAUUCUUUGAUUCAGAUUUUAUUGAAUCUGUGACAAUAUUUUUUUUCUCAAAUUGUAGCUGAAAAACAUAUGAAAACAAAACAUAUAUUUUUUGCUCCCCCACCGUUGAGCCGCCGCAGGGGCGGACGGACCGCUGGAGGAGACAUUGAGCCCCCGGCACCAUUCUAAGGCCUUUAGACUGAUGCUGGUUGAAGAUUUGUGUGAAGGAGCGUCAAACAGGUGCUGUGGCUUCUUCAGUUCUAGCUGACUCGGGUCGUUAGCAUUCAAAUGGUCACCAUUGGGCGCAUUGAUACCCUAUUUGCCAUUGAUUUCCAGCACUGGAAUCACCUGAGCUUAUAUGACAAUGUCCAUGACACUGACUGGGUAGCAAUGAAGGAACUGCAUUGUAGGUCAUGCAAUUGUAAUUAGAUAGUUGUAACGCUCUCUGCUGGUGAGUUUUCACUUGUAAUAAAAUUCCAUAGGGGGGUUAAAUAAGGUUGUUUAAUUGGCCACAUUUUAGUAGAGAUGGGAAGUUCGGUUCUUUUAACUGACUCGGAUCUUUAAGUCUCGUUCAGUAAAGUAAACAAAUCAUUUUGAGUCAUUCGUUGUUGUGGAAAAAGAAAUACCACGAGAGCUUCUAACGACUCAAUGAAAAGAAGAAGUCAAAAAGUUGCCUCUGUGAAUUUAUUUCUGGAUAUGCAUAUAU